Molecule: ribosomal RNA, 301 nt
Filed under: uncultured bacterium
Lineage: Bacteria
Description: partial 16S ribosomal RNA
Rfam family: Bacterial small subunit ribosomal RNA
Source: RNAcentral
CAGUCGCCACGGUAAUACGAAGGGUGCAAGCGUUAAUCGGAAUUACUGGGCGUAAAGCGUGCGUAGGCGGUUUGUUAAGUAUGUUGUGAAAUCCCCGGGCUCAACCUGGGAAUGGCAAUGGAUACUGGCAAGCUAGAGUGUGUCAGAGGAUGGUGGAAUUCCCGGUGUAGCGGUGAAAUGCGUAGAGAUCGGGAGGAACAUCAGUGGCGAAGGCGGCCAUCUGGGACAACACUGACGCUGAGGCACGAAAGCGUGGGGAGCAAACAGGAUUAGAUACCCCCGUAGUCCCUGUCUCUUAUAC